GGGGAUGAUCGGUUUCGACACUGUAAUGAUGAGUGAAAGAAGCGGGUCGAGGAUGCACAGUUAUCUCGUAAACGCUCUGUGCAAAACUAUAGGUGCCAAUACAAAGCGCGCCGACUUCGCCCUAGCUGCAUAAGCUAGCCCCGAAGUCCGUUUGCCUAGGUUUGAUUUCGACCUAGAUCCAAGCGUCAUUUAGAAAUCUUGCUAAUUGGGUGCGUCAAAGGCCUAGUUGGGACUUUUUACUUUGACUGGGCUGGUCGGCGUAGUCGCCUCCGACAAAUUCCGCAGCCAAGUAGAACGCCUCUGGAGGCUACACCCGUAGAAGAGUCAUGAACGCUGCAGUGGACCCGGGUUCGAUUCCCGGCAUCUCCACAA
Molecule: transfer-messenger RNA, 372 nt
Filed under: Microbacteriaceae
Lineage: Bacteria; Bacillati; Actinomycetota; Actinomycetes; Micrococcales
Also listed under: 1 other name
Description: Aquiluna sp003149555 Standard tmRNA
Rfam family: transfer-messenger RNA
About the family: Bacterial tmRNA, also known as 10Sa RNA or SsrA, is named for its dual tRNA and mRNA-like properties. Its role is to liberate the mRNA from a stalled ribosome.
Source: RNAcentral